This 332-nucleotide ribosomal RNA is filed under the name uncultured Sphaerobacter sp. Its description in RNAcentral is "bacterial SSU rRNA". It matches the Rfam family "Bacterial small subunit ribosomal RNA", at positions 568 to 898 of the family's 1533-position model. Lineage: Bacteria; Pseudomonadati; Thermomicrobiota; Thermomicrobia; Sphaerobacterales; Sphaerobacteraceae. The record is from RNAcentral.
CGCGCAGGCGGCUCGUCAAGCCUGACGUGAAAGCCCCCGGCUCAACCGGGGAGGGUCGUCGGGGACUGGCGGGCUUGAGGUCGGCAGGGGCUGGUGGAAUUCCCGGUGUAGUGGUGAAAUGCGUAGAGAUCGGGAGGAACACCCGUGGCGAAGGCGGCCAGCUGGGCCGGACCUGACGCUGAGGCGCGAAGGCGUGGGGAGCGAACGGGAUUAGAUACCCCGGUAGUCCACGCAGUAAACGAUGCAGACUAGGCGUGGGGGGACUUGACCCCCUCCGUGCCGAAGCUAACGCGUGAAGUCUGCCGCCUGGGGAGUACGGCCGCAAGGCUAAA